AAAACAUAACAACCUAACCUAAGUCCAUUAGAGCAAUCCAAAUUGCAUAGGUACAAAGAUUCCAUGACUGCAGCAUCAAAAGAACACAUUCUAAGCAACUGGAAGACUAACCAUAAAUCAAAACCAUGCCAUAUAAAACACUGGAGGUUAGCUUAGCUUAAGCUUAUGUUUGUCCCAACGCUUCUUCUUCUACUACCUUUCAAAACCAUUCCACUACCUAAGCAUCCACCUAGGUAUUAGUGAUCCAGAAGACGCUGUUAUACCCAUGGCUCCUCACUCUAAUGAAAAAAAUCAAGAUAGAAACGAAGCGAGAAAACUCACAGUAGAACGAGGCACAACUCUGUUGCGGAAGCAAAAACGAGGGUUCGCCAACGCCGAAAGCGUGGCCGCGAGGCUUGUUCCUCCACAAUCCCAAUCCGCCACAAAGAGCCUUGAGCCACGAAACACGAAUUAGUUACUGUAGAGGUCGAGAUGGAUUGAAAACGAAAGGAAAUGUGAAACUUACGGUGUUAGGGCACAAUGCUUGAAUGCUCUCCGUCGCAAUGCUUGAAUGCUCUCCGUCGUCGCAAUGCUUGAAUGCCU
Molecule: long non-coding RNA, 582 nt
Filed under: Phaseolus vulgaris (common bean)
Lineage: Eukaryota; Viridiplantae; Streptophyta; Magnoliopsida; Fabales; Fabaceae
Description: long non-coding RNA (PVUL_LNC001854)
Source: RNAcentral